Molecule: ribosomal RNA, 301 nt
Filed under: uncultured bacterium
Lineage: Bacteria
Description: partial 16S ribosomal RNA
Rfam family: Bacterial small subunit ribosomal RNA
Source: RNAcentral
CAGUCGCCACGGGAACACGGAGGGGGCUAGCGUUGUUCGGAAUUACUGGGCGUAAAGCGCACGUAGGCGGCUUGGUAAGUUAGAGGUGAAAGCCUGGAGCUCAACUCCAGAAUUGCCUUUAAGACUGCCGAGCUAGCAGGUGAGAGAGGUAAGUGGAAUUCCGAGUGUAGAGGUGAAAUUCGUAGAUAUUCGGAAGAACACCAGUGGCGAAGGCGGCUUACUGGCUCAUACUGGACGCUGAGGUGCGAAAGCGUGGGGAGCAAACAGGAUUAGAUACCCCGGUAGUCCCUGUCUCUUAUAA